AGUAAGGACUAAGGUUAACUGACUGUCUGUCUGUCUGUCUGCUCUCAACCAAACAGUCAUUCAAUACCUGUUAAAGUAAGGACUAAGGUUAACUGACUGUCUGUCUGUCUGCUCUCAACCAAACAGUCAUUCAAGACCUUUCAAAGUUUAGCACAAAAGUUUCCAGCACAAGUUUGGAUCUUUACCAUUGAGGGUGGCUGACUGUUCUCGACCAACCAUCAUUCACACGCAAAAACUUUAAAGAUAAGUAUGAACGUGCCCAGAGCAGUUUUCGAUCUUUACCAUUAAGGAGGCUGACUGACUAUCCUCUACCACCCGUCAUUAACACAACAAAAACUAAAGAAAUGUUACUCCAUAUGGACUUAUUCUUUACUCAUUAUGCUGUGAGUACACCACAGUUUUAUCAGUGAAAAAAUGUAUAUUUGUGUGUUUUCUCACUGCUUGGAAGGGAAAUGUGGCCCUGUUAAAAAUGUUUAAAUGUUGUUUGGUUUAAGGAACAGCACACUGAUUUUGUUUUAAAAUAUUCCUGUUUGGACAGUCUGUUAAAGCCAUAAAGAAAUACUUGAUAUAUUUCAUAAGUAAAGUGUAAAUGUAAUAUUAGUUUUUAAUGUUGUGACUGAACACAAUGUUGUGAAUGAUUUGGACUGAACAGCACACUUCUGUUUUAUAUCUGAACCUUUUGUAAAAUAAAUGAUUGUUCAUUAAACU
Molecule: long non-coding RNA, 708 nt
Organism: Paramisgurnus dabryanus
Lineage: Eukaryota; Metazoa; Chordata; Actinopteri; Cypriniformes; Cobitidae
Source: RefSeq, a predicted model, not a curated record